Molecule: non-coding RNA, 525 nt
Organism: Musa acuminata subsp. malaccensis (wild Malaysian banana)
Lineage: Eukaryota; Viridiplantae; Streptophyta; Magnoliopsida; Zingiberales; Musaceae
Source: RefSeq, a predicted model, not a curated record
CGUUCCACGCGUAUCUGAAACGGCUGGGUGCUUUGUCGGAGCUCUCCGGCAGCGGACGGAAUGGUUGGUGGAGAAGAUAUUUCUUCUUCUACUCGUGCAGAUGCCGGGGGCGGCGGUUACUCAGGGAGGGAGAGUGUCGGAGCAUUCUCAGGCGAAAUCCUCAUGGCUUAAAUCCUCGUCGAGCCAUGUCGUAGGCGAAACACGACGUCCCAAAUCGACGAAGGACUCCGCAAAGGAACUGGAUCAGUGGAUCGCGAAUGUGAAGAAAGGGCAGCAUCCAGAGGCGAAUACGUUAAGGAGAUUCUUGUUGAGGAGUCAAAUGUACAACCGGUUAAUAGCCCUGUGACUGUUUGUGGUGACAUCCAUGGCCAGUUUCAUGAUCUAAUGAAACUUUUUCAAACUGGAGGUCAUGUUCCUGAGACAAAUUACAUAUUCAUGGGUGACUUUGUCGAUCGUGGUUAUAACAAUCUGGAAGUUUUCACAAUUCUUUUGCUUCUGAAAGCCAGGUAAAAUUUAUAUUUGUGU